RNAcentral lists this long non-coding RNA (1071 nucleotides) under Carassius auratus (goldfish). RNAcentral describes it as "lncRNA (ENSCARG00000036692.1)". The record is from RNAcentral. Lineage: Eukaryota; Metazoa; Chordata; Actinopteri; Cypriniformes; Cyprinidae.
AUCAUUAAUCAUCAAUGCUACUGUUAAGCAAAUGGAAGUGAUAAAAGUCCCGAAUAAUCAACAAAGGAUCAUUGAAAGGAGUCUGGAGGAAUAUUAUGAAGGAUGGCUAAACAAACUGAACUUAAAUGAGCAAACUUUUGACGAUAGUUCUAUUGACUCUAAUGAGGAUGAUGAAGAUGUCUAAAGGUGAACCAUACCCUGGAUAUAAGUGCCAGUUGAACUUUGGCCCAGGGAGGCUCUCUACGAUACAUAAGGGUCCGUGUACUUGUUGGCCAACGGAUUUUCGUUUUAAAAGGAAAAAAACAAAAACGAAAAACGGCUCGUUUCCCAAUUUCCAUUAGUAAAUAGGAAAACAAAAAACGGAAAACAAUCCAUUUUUCUUUUUUUCUUUUGAUAUUAAAAGACGGAAAACACAAAACAAUCUCGUUAUCCGAUUGUAUUUAUAGAUGGAAAUCGGAAAUCAAGAUACGUAUAUAUAUGACCUAAUCCUGCAUUGGUACUUUUUCGUGAACCGGAAGUUACUCCCGCCCAGAGCUCCCGCCACGCCAAGAAGACCCGCCUUUCACCCUAGGUAAUGUAAAACACGUAAUUGAUGUUCGAGCUACUGCGACAAUGGAAACAACAAGUUAUGUUCUCUUUUGAGAAGGCAAACGUGUCACAGUAAGAGAUGAUGACAUGUCUGUUGACAAAAUAUGCAGGAUAUUUCAGGUUGAUGGCAGCAGUCUGUACAUUACAGAUGAUGCAAACACCACAACAUUUCCAGAGCCAUCUGGACGUUUUUGCAUCCUCGAUCUUGUGCAUCGCGGCCAUUAUGAGGUCCACGGGGAUCCAGAUCAUAGUCAGCUUCCUGCAAGCAGAGCCGUACCCACUACUGCUGUUCCUUUUGCCUUCAUGCGCCGCCCUGCACCUCCCGCUUCUGCUUCCACUGAAACACCACGACCUUCCCCUGGAACUCCACGAUAUAUAUAUAUAUAUAUAUAUAUAUAUAUAUAUAUAUAUAUAUAUAUAUACCAGUUGAAUAUGUUAGACAAAUGUUUCUUAUUUAUCUCUCUCUGGCUAGAGUCUGGCUAG